CUCUUGGAACAAUUACCCCUCAGAGAGAACUGCAAACUGGAAAAAAGAAUCCAACAAGGGACAGUGCAGACUGAGGUGGAAGAGGCAGAAAUUCCUUUCUGGAGAGAAAAAGAGCCAACUUGUAGCCAUGAUGCUUCACAGCUGGCCGGGAGCAACCUUAAGGUCACCAACCUAGGGAGGGGCGGUGCUGACAGCACAGCUCACCCAGGAAAGUUUCUGAAGAGGGACCUCCACCCAAAGGACUUCCCAUAGGAUGUCUGUGCCCAGAAAUAUCCUGGGGGAGACGCACAAGGGUUUCGUGCAAGAUAGUUCCAGAGAAUUAUUGUAUUACUCUGAUGCUUUUACAAAAGUGCCCCUGGAAAAGUGCUUCAUCUUCAAGGAGAGUCAAGAAAAGGACUUUUUUUUUUUUUUUUUUUUUUUUUUUACAAGUGGAUAUACAAGCACUGUUGAAGGCUUACCAAACAAAAAUAAAAUUCAAAAGAAACUACACCAGGUCCUCCUCACCACCCAGAUGACAGCCACACUUCAGGGGCUUGAACCUUGGACACACCCCUCCCAGCUGAAGACGCUCCUCCUGACAUCUGGUUCUGUGCAGACGCUGGGGACCUCCACAUCAGACUGACAAGGGAGAGAAGUAGCUGACAUGGAGGUAGACGGCUUCCUCCCCAGAUGCCAGAUCAACACUUUCUACUUUAGCUAAACCUAAACUCUUCUUUCCUUUCUGUCCCUUAGUCUGGCACUGACCUGGAAGGAUAAUGCCAUCAUCUGGAUCCCCCCAGCUAUUGCUAAGAAGGGUAACCUCUGAAAAUUAGACCGACUUUUUAUUCCCAAGCUAGGAGAAAAUCUAACUGACGCCUGGCUUGAAUGGGCAAAUGCAACAAUCCCUGUGAGUGAAUCCAUGAACAAGGCCACCUUAGCGGGAGUGGUCUGUGCCCUUACAGGAUUGAUCCUUGUCUGUAGUGGUGAUCCUUCUCCUUGGGUCUGUGAAUGCCUGGGUGGCUGGUGCAUAGCUGGGCAGGGCCUCUUAGGUUAUCUAACUGACCCCUAACUUUUCACAAACGAGACAUUUCACUGGUUGACUCCCCUGUAUUUACAUCAUUGAGUUAGAAGAGAUGUACCAGGAGGCACUCAAGCCUCGGGAUUCACCUCCUUUGACAGGGCCAUACUGCCCUGGUUAGGAGGAAAGGUAAAUGAGAAUAUGAUCAGAAAACCUCUGCUUAGCUCUUGAAGAUUUUGCAAAACCCAUUGCUAAGACAAGAGCAGCCCAUUAAAGAUCCUUAGCCUCUCUGGCCAAAGUUGUCCUUGGCACCAGGACAGCCCUUGAUUCUCUUUCAGCUGAGCAAGGAGCUGUCUGUGCUGUGGCCACCACCUGCUGUUCCUGAAUGAACACUCCUGGGGAAGGUGAAACUCAAUUCACUGAGCAAGCCACUUGGCUUUUAUUAAAAGGGGACUCCUUUAAUGGUGUCUUUCUUUGACUAAUUUUAUUGUGAUUUGUUUGGGUCUUGGGAACCAGGGCUCCAAAGUGCAGCCCAGAUAUUGAGAAGUGUCCUGCUUAUGUAAUCAUAACAAACUCCCUGGUGCAUUUUAUUCUCUUAAAAGCUUUAAAUGCAGGUUCGAAGCUGCUAACCACCAAGCAAGUGGUCUCCCUAAGACUGGAACCUCAGAAAAGGAGUGGAGAGAUGACCAACUUAAAGACUGUGAACCUGAAGCCUUGAUCUGUGAACAUCACAGGAGUUAAGGAAAAGAGUCACGACCUCUGGAUGCCACCCAAAGGAACAAUGAAACCUGAGAGAAUUUCACAGCGGUGGCUGAGAGUGGUGCUAACGCCUUAAAUGUUGAUCACAUCUCAGUUAAGCUGAGGGUCUGAUCAAAAAGGGGAAAAUUGUGAAAAAGAUAAAAACAGACCUCAAGUGGAGUCACUUUUGCCAAGCCCAUGUCACCAAACCAGGGCUAAAUACCUACCCUAACUGCAGCUUCAACCUCCUCCAGGGAUGGAGUCUAACCGGUCAGGGUAGGACUGUCUAGUCAGCACCAAUGAGGCAAUCUGCCACAUGGGCCCCUCCAUCCCCCAAAGAAGAUGAGGGCAUCCACCUAAUAGGACCCUUGUGUCCCCAAAGGGAGGUAACCUUGCCUAAAAUGAUCUUUUUUUCUGUUAUGACUUCCUUGUCCUGCCUUUAAAGCCUUUCCUUUUCUGUACCCUCUGGAGCUCCUCUCUACUUGCCAGAUGGAUGCUGCCCAUUGAGGAAUUGCUCAA
Molecule: long non-coding RNA, 2254 nt
Organism: Equus quagga
Lineage: Eukaryota; Metazoa; Chordata; Mammalia; Perissodactyla; Equidae
Exons: 4
Source: RefSeq, a predicted model, not a curated record